UGGGGAAUUUUGGACAAUGGGCGAAAGCCUGAUCCAGCAAUGCCGCGUGUGUGAAGAAGGCCUUCGGGUUGUAAAGCACUUUUGUCCGGAAAGAAAUCCUUGGCUCUAAUACAGUCGGGGGAUGACGGUACCGGAAGAAUAAGCACCGGCUAACUACGUGCCAGCAGCCGCGGUAAUACGUAGGGUGCAAGCGUUAAUCGGAAUUACUGGGCGUAAAGCGUGCGCAGGCGGUUUGCUAAGACCGAUGUGAAAUCCCCGGGCUCAACCUGGGAACUGCAUUGGUGACUGGCAGGCUAGAGUAUGGCAGAGGGGGGUAGAAUUCCACGUGUAGCAGUGAAAUGCGUAGAGAUGUGGAGGAAUACCGAUGGCGAAAGGCAGCCCCCUGGGCCAAAUACUGACGCUCAUGCACGAAAAGCGUGGGGGAGCAAAACAGGAUUAGAUACCCUGGUAGUCCACGCCCUAAAACGAUGUCAACUAGUUGUUGGGGAUUCAUUUCCUUAGUAACGUAGCUAACGCGUGAAGUUGACCGCCUGGGGAGUACGGUCGCAAAGAUUAAAAACUCAAAGGAAUUGACGGGGUCAUAGCUGUUUCC
RNAcentral lists this ribosomal RNA (592 nucleotides) under uncultured bacterium. Its description in RNAcentral is "partial 16S ribosomal RNA". It matches the Rfam family "Bacterial small subunit ribosomal RNA", at positions 355 to 937 of the family's 1533-position model. The record is from RNAcentral.